RNAcentral lists this ribosomal RNA (972 nucleotides) under uncultured Acidobacteriota bacterium. RNAcentral describes it as "bacterial SSU rRNA". It matches the Rfam family "Bacterial small subunit ribosomal RNA", at positions 8 to 992 of the family's 1533-position model. The record is from RNAcentral. Lineage: Bacteria; Pseudomonadati; Acidobacteriota.
AGAGUUUGAUCCUGGCUCAGAAUCAACGCCGGCGGCGUGCCUCAGACAUGCAAGUCGAACGAUUAAACUUUCCUUCGGGAAAGAUAUAAAGUGGCGCACGGGUGAGUAACACGUGAGUAAUCUACCUUUGAGUGGGGAAUAACCCGGGGAAACCCGAGCUAAUACCGCAUAAUGCAGCGGCACCUAAUGGUGACAGUUGUUAAAGAUUUAUCGCUUGAAGAGGAGCUUGCGGCAGAUUAGCUAGUUGGUAAGGUAAUGGCUUACCAAGGCUACGAUCUGUAACCGGUCUAAGAGGACGGUCGGUCACACUGACACUGAAUAACGGGUCAGACUCCUACGGGAGGCAGCAGUCGGGAAUUUUGGGCAAUGGGCGAAAGCCUGACCCAGCAACGCCGCGUGAAGGAUGAAGUAUUUCGGUAUGUAAACUUCGAAAGAAUGGGAAGAAUAAAUGACGGUACCAUUUAUAAGGUCCGGCUAACUACGUGCCAGCAGCCGCGGUAAUACGUAGGGACCAAGCGUUGUUCGGAUUUACUGGGCGUAAAGGGCGCGUAGGCGGCAUAUUAAGUCAGCUGUGAAAUCUCCGAGCUUAACUCGGAACUGUCAGCUGAUACUGAUGUGCUAGAGUGCAGAAGGGGCAAUCGGAAUUCUUGGUGUAGCGGUGAAAUGCGUAGAUAUCAAGAGGAACACCUGAGGUGAAGACGGGUUGCUGGGCUGACACUGACGCUGAGGCGCGAAAGCCAGGGGAGCAAACGGGAUUAGAUACCCCGGUAGUCCUGGCCCUAAACGAUGAAUACUUGGUGUCUGGAGUUUUAGUGCUCCGGGUGCCGUCGCUAACGUUUUAAGUAUUCCGCCUGGGGAGUACGCUCGCAAGAGUGAAACUCAAAGGAAUUGACGGGGACCCGCACAAGCGGUGGAGCAUGUGGUUUAAUUCGACGCAACGCGAAGAACCUUACCCUGGACUAGAAUGUGAGG